Molecule: non-coding RNA, 45 nt
Organism: Schistosoma margrebowiei
Lineage: Eukaryota; Metazoa; Platyhelminthes; Trematoda; Strigeidida; Schistosomatidae
Source: Rfam
AUCUAGCUGAAGAGUUCCAAAUUAGACAAAACACAUGUUCUAGAU